UUGACCUCGGAUCAGGCAAGAAUACCCGC
Molecule: ribosomal RNA, 29 nt
Filed under: Renispora flavissima
Lineage: Eukaryota; Fungi; Ascomycota; Eurotiomycetes; Onygenales; Onygenaceae
Description: partial 28S ribosomal RNA
Source: RNAcentral